AUAAGCGGAGGAAAAGAAACCAACAGGGAUUGCCCUAGUAACGGCGAGUGAAGCGGCAACAGCUCAAAUUUGAAAGCUGGCUCUCGGGCCCGCAUUGUAAUUUGCAGAGGAUGCUUCUGGCGACGCGCCUUCCGAGUUCCCUGGAACGGGACGCCAUAGAGGGUGAGAGCCCCGUCCGGUCGUGCGCCUAGCCUCUGUGAAGCUCCUUCGACGAGUCGGGUAGUUUGGGAAUGCUGCUCAAAAUGGGAGGUAUACGUCUUCUAAAGCUAAAUACCGGCCAGAGACCGAUAGCGCACAAGUAGAGUGAUCGAAAGAUGAAAAGCACUUUGAAAAGAGAGUUAAAAAGUACGUGAAAUUGUUGAAAGGGAAGCGCUCAUGACCAGACUUGGGCUGGCCCGAUCAUCCGGCGUUCUCGCCGGUGCACUCGGGCCGCCCAGGCCAGCAUCAGCUUUCGCCGGGGGAUAAAGGCGGCGGGAAUGUGGCUCCCUCGGGAGUGUUAUAGCCCGCCGUGCAAUACCCUGGUGGGGGCUGAGGUUCGCGCGUAUGCACGGAUGCUGGCGUAAUGGUUAUCAGCGACCCGUCUUGAAACACGGACCAA
RNAcentral lists this ribosomal RNA (598 nucleotides) under Trichothecium sp. HNLY3. RNAcentral describes it as "eukaryotic LSU rRNA". It matches the Rfam family "Eukaryotic large subunit ribosomal RNA", at positions 46 to 669 of the family's 3401-position model. Lineage: Eukaryota; Fungi; Ascomycota; Sordariomycetes; Hypocreales. The record is from RNAcentral.